AUUGAACGCUGGCGGCAGGCCUAACACAUGCAAGUCGAACGGUAACAGGAAACAGCUUGCUGUUUCGCUGACGAGUGGCGGACGGGUGAGUAAUGUCUGGGAAACUGCCUGAUGGAGGGGGAUAACUACUGGAAACGGUAGCUAAUACCGCAUAACGUCGCAAGACCAAAGAGGGGGACCCUCGGGCCUCUUGCCAUCGGAUGUGCCCAGAUGGGAUUAGCUUGUUGGUGGGGUAACGGCUCACCAAGGCGACGAUCCCUUGCUGGUCUGAGAGGAUGACCAGCCACACUGGAACUGAGACACGGUCCAGACUCCUACGGGAGGCAGCAGUGGGGAAUAUUGCACAAUGGGCGCAAGCCUGAUGCAGCCAUGCCGCGUGUAUGAAGAAGGCCUUCGGGUUGUAAAGUACUUUCAGCGGGGAGGAAGGGAGUAAAGUUAAUACCUUUGCUCAUUGACGUUACCCGCAGAAGAAGCACCGGCUAACUCCGUG
This 490-nucleotide ribosomal RNA is filed under the name uncultured bacterium. Its description in RNAcentral is "partial 16S ribosomal RNA". It matches the Rfam family "Bacterial small subunit ribosomal RNA", at positions 30 to 507 of the family's 1533-position model. The record is from RNAcentral.